Molecule: ribosomal RNA, 229 nt
Filed under: uncultured bacterium
Lineage: Bacteria
Description: partial 16S ribosomal RNA
Rfam family: Bacterial small subunit ribosomal RNA
Source: RNAcentral
UGCGUAGGCGGAAUUUUAAGUCAGUGGUGAAAUCCUGCAGCUCAACUGUAGAACUGCCAUUGAUACUGAUAUUCUUGAAUUUGGUUGAGGUGGGCGGAACGUGUAAUGUAGCGGUGAAAUGCUUAGAUAUUACACAGAACACCGAUUGCGAAGGCAGCUCACUAAACUAAUAUUGACGCUGAGGCACGAAAGCGUGGGUAGCGAACAGGAUUAGAUACCCUGGUAGUCC